RNAcentral lists this ribosomal RNA (441 nucleotides) under uncultured soil bacterium. Its description in RNAcentral is "bacterial SSU rRNA". It matches the Rfam family "Bacterial small subunit ribosomal RNA", at positions 26 to 455 of the family's 1533-position model. The record is from RNAcentral.
AGAACGAACGUUAGCGGCGCGCCUAACACAUGCAAGUCGUGCGGGAAAGGGCUUCGGCCCCGGUAAAGCGGCGCACGGGUGAGUAACACGUAGGUAAUCUUCCCUCGAGUGGUGGAUAACCCUCCGGAAAGGAGGGCUAAUACAGCAUGAGACCACGACCUCGCUGAGGUUGCGGCAAAAGUGGCCUCUACAUGUAAGCUUACGCUUGAGGAUGAGCCUGCGCCCAUCAGCUAGUGUAGGUAAUGGCCUACCAAGGCAUAGACGGGUAGCUGGUCUGAGAGGACUGAACAGCCACACUGGAACUGAGACACGGUCCAGACUCCUACGGGAGCAGCAGUGGGAAUCUUGCGCAAGUGGGACGAAAGCCUGACGCAGCGACGCCGCGUGAGCGAUGAAGGUCCGUUCGGUUAGUAAGCUCGUGGUGGGAAGGAAGAAGUAAGG